This 429-nucleotide ribosomal RNA is filed under the name Chloroflexota bacterium. Its description in RNAcentral is "Chloroflexi bacterium partial 16S ribosomal RNA". It matches the Rfam family "Bacterial small subunit ribosomal RNA", at positions 355 to 776 of the family's 1533-position model. Lineage: Bacteria; Bacillati; Chloroflexota. The record is from RNAcentral.
UGGGGAAUAUUGCACAAUGGGCGCAAGCCUGAUGCAGCCAUGCCGCGUGUGUGAAGAAGGCCUUCGGGUUGUAAAGCACUUUCAGCGGGGAGGAAGGCGUUAAGGUUAAUAACCUUGGCGAUUGACGUUACCCGCAGAAGAAGCACCGGCUAACUCCGUGCCAGCAGCCGCGGUAAUACGGAGGGUGCAAGCGUUAAUCGGAAUUACUGGGCGUAAAGCGCACGCAGGCGGUUUGUUAAGUCAGAUGUGAAAUCCCCGGGCUCAACCUGGGAACUGCAUCUGAUACUGGCAAGCUUGAGUCUCGUAGAGGGGGGUAGAAUUCCAUGUGUAGCGGUGAAAUGCGUAGAGAUGUGGAGGAAUACCGGUGGCGAAGGCGGCCCCCUGGACAAAGACUGACGCUCAGGUGCGAAAGCGUGGGGAGCAAACAGG